RNAcentral lists this transfer RNA (82 nucleotides) under Pirellulaceae bacterium. RNAcentral's name for it is "tRNA-Leu". It matches the Rfam family "tRNA". Rfam says of the family: Transfer RNA (tRNA) molecules are approximately 80 nucleotides in length. Their secondary structure includes four short double-helical elements and three loops (D, anti-codon, and T loops). Further hydrogen bonds mediate the characteristic L-shaped molecular structure. tRNAs have two regions of fundamental functional importance: the anti-codon, which is responsible for specific mRNA codon recognition, and the 3' end, to which the tRNAs corresponding amino acid is attached (by aminoacyl-tRNA synthetases). tRNAs cope with the degeneracy of the genetic code in two manners: having more than one tRNA (with a specific anti-codon) for a particular amino acid; and 'wobble' base-pairing, i.e. permitting non-standard base-pairing at the 3rd anti-codon position. Lineage: Bacteria; Pseudomonadati; Planctomycetota; Planctomycetia; Pirellulales; Pirellulaceae. The record is from RNAcentral.
GGCUUGAUAGUGGAAUUGGCAAACGCGCUGGAUUUAGGAUCCAGUUCCUUCGGGAGUGCAGGUUCGACCCCUGUUCGAGCUA